ACGUAGCUCUUUUCGGGGAGUGUUAUAGCCUGCGACGCAAUGCCGCCUACCCUGACCGAGGACCGCGCUUCGGCUAGGAUGCUGGCGUAAUGGUUGUAAGCGACCCGUCUUGAAACACGGACCAAGGAGUCUAACAUCUAUGCGAGUGUUUGGGUGCGAAACCCAUGCGCGAAAUGAAAGUGAACGUAGGUGAGAACCCUUCGAGGGGGCAUCAUCGACCGAUCCUGAUGUCUUCGGAUGGAUUUGAGUAUGAGCAUAGCUGUUGGGACCCGAAAGAUGGUGAACUAUGCCUGAAUAGGGUGAAGCCAGAGGAAACUCUGGUGGAGGCUCGCAGCGGUUCUGACGUGCAAAUCGAUCGUCAAAUUUGGGUAUA
This 373-nucleotide ribosomal RNA is filed under the name Phyllactinia fraxini. Its description in RNAcentral is "partial large subunit ribosomal RNA". It matches the Rfam family "Eukaryotic large subunit ribosomal RNA", at positions 545 to 919 of the family's 3401-position model. The record is from RNAcentral. Lineage: Eukaryota; Fungi; Ascomycota; Leotiomycetes; Helotiales; Erysiphaceae.